RNAcentral lists this ribosomal RNA (1150 nucleotides) under Candidatus Levybacteria bacterium RIFCSPHIGHO2_01_FULL_38_12. Its description in RNAcentral is "bacterial SSU rRNA". It matches the Rfam family "Bacterial small subunit ribosomal RNA", at positions 508 to 1389 of the family's 1533-position model. The record is from RNAcentral. Lineage: Bacteria; Candidatus Levyibacteriota.
CCAGAAGUCUCGGUAAUACGUAGGAGGCAAGCGUUAUCCGGAUUCAUUGGGCGUAAAGUGUGCGUAGGCGCCCCGAUCAGUCAUGCUUUAAAUACUAAGGCUUAACCUUAGAAUCUGGCACGAUACUAUCGGGGUUGAGGAUUGUCAGGGAUGCUGGAACAGUUAGUGUAGCAGUGAAAUGCGUUGAUAUUAACUGGAACACCAAAGGCGAAGGCAGGCAUCUGGGAUCUUCCUGACGCUGAGGCACGAAAGCUAGGGUAGCGAAACAGAUUAGAGACCUGUGUAGUCCUAGCCGUAAACGAUGUCCGCUAGCUGUCACUCUCAAAGCAUAGAAUGCUUUGAGAAAUUCGAAGCAUGAAUAUCGAAAUUCGAAAUAAAAAUUUAAAUGUUCAAAAUUCAAAUGAAUAAACAUUUUUCGGAUUUCGAAUUUAGAAUUUCGGAUUUUCUCAAAAAAUAUUCUAUUUUUUGAGAGUGGCGGUGUAAGCUAACGCGUUAAGCGGACCGCCUGGGGAGUACGGCCGCAAGGCUAAAACUCAAAGGAAUUGACGGGGACCCGCACAACCAGUGGAGCGUGUGGUUUAAUUCGAGACAAAACGAAAAACCUCACCAGGACUUGACAUGAUACCGUUUACUCUCCUAGAAAUAGGAGAGGAUCCCCUCAAGAACAAAAGUAAACGGAAGUUAAAAAUUAAAAGUUUAAUUAGUUAGUUGGUUAGUUCGUUAUUAGUUCAUGGUAAAUUACUGUGAACUGAACUUUGAACUUUGAAUUACCCGAAAAAACUUCUGUUUUUGAGGGGGAUGGUAUCACAGGUGCUGCAUGGCUGUCGUCAGCUCGUGCCGUGAGGUGUUCCCUUAAGUGGGGAAACGAGCGCAACCCCUAUCUAAUGUUAAAUUAUUCAUUGGAGACUGCCCGAGCUUAGCUCGGGAGGAAGGAGGGGAAGACGUCAAGUCAGCACGGCCCUUAUGUCCUGGGCUACACACACACUACAAUGGCGAAAAACAAUGAGUCGCAAGCGCGCAAGUGCAAGCUAAUCUCUGAAAUUUCGCCUCAGUUCAGAUUGGGGUCUGAAACCCGACCUCAUGAAGUCGGAAUUGGUAGUAAUCGCGGAUCAGCAUGCCGCGGUGAAUACGUUCUCGGGUCUUGUACACA